This is a non-coding RNA of Delphinapterus leucas (beluga whale), 6673 nucleotides long. The record is from RefSeq and is a predicted model, not a curated record. Lineage: Eukaryota; Metazoa; Chordata; Mammalia; Artiodactyla; Monodontidae.
AUGGAGAGCAAGGCGCUGCUGGCCUUUGCUCUGUGGCUCUGCGUGGAGACCCGGGCUGCCUCUGUGGGUUUGUCUAGCGUUUCUCUUGAUCCACCCAGGCUCAGCAUAAAAAAAGACAUACUUACAAUUAUGGCUAACACAACGCUUCAAAUUACUUGCAGGGGUCAGAGGGACUUGGACUGGCUUUGGCCCAACAACCAGAGCGGCUCUGAGAAAAGAGUGGAGGUGACGGAUUGCAGUGACAGUGCCUUAUGUAAGAUGCUCACCAUUCCAAAAGUGAUCGGAAAUGAUACUGGAGCCUACAAGUGCUUCUACCGGGACACUGACAUGGCCUCCGUCGUCUAUGUGUAUGUUCAAGAUUACAGAUCUCCGUUUAUUGCUUCGGUCAGUGACCAACAUGGAGUUGUGUACAUCACUGAGAACAAAAACAAAACUGUGGUGAUUCCAUGUCUGGGGACCAUUUCAAACCUCAAUGUGUCACUUUGUGCAAGGUAUCCAGAAAAGAGGUUUGUUCCUGAUGGUAACAGAAUUUCCUGGGACAGCAAGAAAGGCUUCACUAUUCCCAGCUACAUGAUCAGCUAUGCUGGCAUGGUCUUCUGUGAAGCAAAAAUUAAUGAUGAAAGUUACCAGUCUAUUAUGUACAUAGUUGUGGUUGUAGGGUACAAGAUUUAUGAUGUGGUUCUGAGCCCCCCUCACGGAGUUGAGCUGUCUGUUGGAGAGAAGCUUGUCUUAAAUUGUACAGCAAGAACUGAACUAAAUGUGGGGAUUGACUUCAACUGGGAAUACCCUUCUUUGAAGCAUCAGCAUAAGAAACUUGUAAACCGGGACCUAAAAACCCAGUCUGGGAGUGAGAUGAAGAAGUUUUUGAGCACCUUGACUAUAGAUGGUGUAACCCGGAGUGACCAAGGGUGGUACACCUGUGCCGCUUCCAGUGGGCUCAUGACCAAGAGGAACAGCACAUUCAUCAGGGUCCACGAAAAACCUUUUGUUGCUUUCGGUAGUGGCAUGGAAUCUUUGGUGGAAGCCACUGUGGGAGACCGUGUCAGAGUCCCUGUGAAGUGCCUUGGUUACCCUCCUCCAGAAAUAAAAUGGUAUAAAAAUGGAAGACUCAUUGAGUCCAAUCACACAAUUAAAGUGGGGCACGUACUGACUAUUAUGGAAGUGAGUGAAAAAGAUACAGGAAAUUACACUGUCAUCCUUACCAAUCCCAUUUCAAAGGAGAAACAGAGCCACGUGGUAUCUCUGGUUGUGAAUGUCCCACCCCAGAUUGGUGAGAAGUCUCUGAUCUCUCCCGUGGACUCUUACCAGUAUGGUACCUCCCAAACGCUGACGUGCACGGUCUAUGCAGUUCCUCCCCCGAGUCACAUCCAGUGGUACUGGCAGCUGGAAACAGAGUGUACCUACCAACCCAUCCAAGCUGCCUUAACGACAAACCCACAUACCUGUAAAGAAUGGAGAAACGUGGAGGACUUCCAGGGGGGAAACAAUAUCGAAGUCAACAAAAAUCAAUUUGCCCUAAUUGAAGGAAAAAACAAAACUGUAAGUACCCUUGUUAUCCAAGCAGCCAAUGUAUCCGCUUUGUACAAAUGUGAAGCGGUGAACAAAGCUGGGAGAGGAGAGAGGGUUAUCUCCUUCCACGUGACCAAGGGUUUUGAAAUCACUUUGCAACCCGGCACCCAGCCCACCGAGCAGGAGAGCGUGUCUCUGUGGUGCUCCGCGGACCGAACUAUGUUUGAGAACCUCACGUGGUACAAACUUGGCCCACAGGCUCUGCCCAUCCACGUGGGAGAGCUGCCCACACCUGUUUGCAAGAACUUGGAUGCUCUUUGGAAAAUGAACGCCACGAUGAUCUCUAAUAGCACAAAUGACAUUUUGAUCAUGGAGUUGCAGAAUGCAUCCUUGCAGGACCAAGGAGACUACAUCUGCUUUGCUCAGGACAGGAAGACCAAGAAAAGACAUUGCGUGGCCAGGCAGCUUACAGUCCUAGAGCGCAUGGCACCCACAAUCACAGGAAACCUGGAGAACCAGACAACAAGUAUUGGUGAAACCAUCGAAGUUUCCUGCACAGCGUCUGGGAAUCCCCCUCCACAGAUUACGUGGUUUAAAGACAAUGAGACGCUUGUGGAAGAUUCAGGCAUCGUGCUACAAGAUGGGAACCGGAACCUAACUAUCCGCAGGGUGAGGAAGGAGGAUGAAGGCCUGUACACCUGCCAGGCAUGCAGUGUUCUCGGGUGUGCAAAAGUGGAGGCGUUUUUCACAGUGGAAGGUGCCCAGGAAAAGACAAACUUGGAAGUCAUUAUUCUAGUCGGCACUGCAGUGAUUGCCAUGUUCUUCUGGCUACUUCUUGUCAUCGUUCUACGGACCGUUAAGCGGGCCAGUGGAGGGGAACUGAAGACGGGCUACUUAUCCAUCGUCAUGGAUCCAGACGAACUCCCCCUGGAUGAGCACUGUGAACGCCUGCCUUAUGAUGCCAGCAAAUGGGAAUUCCCCAGAGACCGGCUGAAACUAGGUAAGCCUCUUGGCCGUGGUGCCUUUGGGCAAGUGAUUGAAGCAGAUGCCUUUGGAAUUGACAAGACAGCAACCUGCAAGACAGUGGCUGUCAAAAUGUUGAAAGAAGGAGCAACACACAGCGAACACCGAGCUCUCAUGUCUGAACUCAAGAUCCUCAUUCAUAUUGGCCACCAUCUCAAUGUGGUCAAUCUUCUUGGUGCCUGUACCAAGCCAGGGGGGCCACUCAUGGUGAUUGUGGAAUUCUGCAAGUUUGGAAACCUGUCAACUUACUUAAGGAGCAAGAGAAAUGAGUUUGUCCCCUACAAGACUAAAGGGGCACGAUUCCGGCAAGGGAAAGAAUACGUUGGGGAAAUCACCGUGGAUCCUAAACGCCGCUUGGACAGCAUCACCAGUAGCCAGAGCUCAGCCAGCUCCGGAUUUGUUGAGGAGAAAUCCCUCAGUGAUGUGGAGGAAGAGGAAGUUUCUGAAGAUGUGUACAAGAACUUCCUGACCUUGGAGCAUCUCAUCUGUUACAGCUUCCAAGUGGCUAAGGGCAUGGAGUUUUUGGCAUCACGGAAGUGUAUCCACAGGGACCUGGCAGCGAGAAACAUCCUCUUGUCGGAGAAGAAUGUGGUUAAAAUCUGUGACUUUGGCUUGGCCCGGGAUAUUUAUAAAGACCCAGAUUAUGUCAGAAAAGGAGAUGCUCGCCUCCCUUUGAAAUGGAUGGCCCCGGAAACAAUUUUUGACAGAGUGUACACAAUUCAGAGUGACGUGUGGUCUUUUGGUGUCCUGCUCUGGGAAAUAUUUUCCUUAGGUGCUUCUCCAUAUCCUGGAGUAAAGAUUGAUGAGGAAUUUUGUAGGAGAUUGAAAGAAGGAACUAGAAUGAGAGCUCCUGAUUAUACCACACCCGAAAUGUACCAGACCAUGCUUGACUGCUGGCAUGGGGAGCCCAAUCAGAGACCCACGUUUUCAGAGCUGGUGGAACAUUUGGGAAAUCUGUUACAAGCGAAUGCUCAGCAGGAUGGCAAAGACUACAUUGUUCUUCCCAUAUCAGAGACUUUGAGCAUGGAAGAGGAUUCGGGACUCUCUCUGCCUACGUCACCUGUUUCCUGUAUGGAGGAAGAGGAAGUGUGUGACCCCAAAUUCCAUUAUGACAACACAGCAGGAAUCAGUCAGUAUCUGCAGAACAGUAAGCGAAAGAGCCGGCCUGUCAGUGUAAAAACAUUUGAAGAUAUCCCGUUGGAAGAACCAGAAGUAAAAGUAAUCCCAGAUGACAACCAGACGGACAGUGGUAUGGUUCUUGCAUCCGAAGAGCUGAAAACCUUGGAAGACAGAAGCAAAUUAGCCCCAUCUUUUAGGUUUGAAGUCUGGCAUAAGGACUCAGCAUGAAGAACAAAUUGCUGGAUGACAAGCGCCUGGGAAGAUUGCAGUGUGAUAGAGUCAGGAUUCAGUAAAAGCUCACUGGCUUAUUGCAGGGAUUGGCAACAAGUGGUUCACACGGAAAUUCAGGAACAACAUUGCUCUUCUGAAAGCUAUUUCAGGAUUCCACACGUUUUGUUGACAUUUGGAUACAAGCUUAAGCAAUGGUGUGCCGGUUUUAAUCCAUGGCCAGGUCAGGAUCAAGUCUUCAAGUUUCCUAUCUUCUCAACAGCACCCAAUUCAGUGUUGGGUGGAUGUGUCAGGAAGGCCCUGACUCUUAGCCCAUCCAGGGGCUGUAUUUUAAGGAAGAAGAAACACAUGUGUGGAUCUGAUAAGAUCUGAGUGAUAUGUGGAGAAGAUGCCCUAUGAGUGACGAUCAGCUGUGUUUACCAUUUAACUCUACAGCGGCAAGCCAAGAUAACUGUCGUGGUCUGUGGACAGAAGUUCAUGAAGAUCACUGCUUGACAGAGUUGCCCUUCUGUUUUCUGAAGUUACUUUAAGGAUCAUCUUUCAGAAGGAAAACAACCUGGCAUAUAAACCACUUCUGAGCCUGUUUAUCCAGAGUGGAGGGUGAGGACACUAAUAGGCAUGAAAAACAAUUUCAAGGGUGUUAAGCUGUAGCUCCAGGCUUCACCUUCAAGGAAUCAGUGUCUCAGGCUGCUAUUGAACAAGAAGAUGUUGAUGCCAGUGUCUCUGGGGGAGACAAGAGACUAGAUUGAAUAUUGCUGAAUUUGUUUUCUGAAGAAAUAUUUAGAAACAUCUGCCCUUCACUUUUCAUCUUUUCACCUGCACACCUGAUUAAACAUCUAUAAAAGUAACUGCAAAGUCGGAUAAUCACCACAAUGAGGACCAGAUGCAGAUGUGCCUCCUGGAAAAGGGAGUGGAUCACAGUGGAAGAGUAGCACGUGGGGACGGCUAGGAAAGGGAAGACAAAUGGGGCAGCCAGAGAUGUGUCUCAGAAGAAGGCUGGGGAGAUCAUUCUGGGACCUCCCCAGUCUCUGGACGAGGCCAGAAAGGUACAGGCUGAGCCAAGAACUCAUGAAUGCCUCUGGUCAGUGAGUUAAUCAUUUAAUGAAUAAGGAAACUAUGUAUGGGCCUCCAGGUUAAAGGUUAACGGGCAGGGUUUCAAAAACAAUUUCAUUAAGUAGACACUAAUAGAUUACAACUUAUGUGUUCCCACAUUAAAACAAGAAACUGGUUCAAAUGAACGAAUGCAUACUGGAUUCAAAAUUAUUUUUAAAAAAGUGCGAGUGAGCGGCUGAGGAAAGCUGAAAUCUUAAGAUAGAAAUAAAAGCACCACGUAGUAUGGAGCAUUGAGUAGCUAUUGGGAAGUUAAUUGUGUAUACAUUGAUCUUCCCAAAGAGACAGUGGUUCUAUAGAUAGUGGUCCAGGGAGGGACUCUGUCUUCAUCCUUCUGUUCCUCAUAGUGGAUUAAUUCAAUAAAUAGGAGUUGAAUUCAACUCAGUGUCACACUGGCAUUAUGGUUGUACAUUGGGUAUGCAGAAAAAAAUCAGUGAAAUUGUUUAUAGUACCAAGAAUUCCCUAUAAUGGAUCUAACUCACCUGUACCUUCAAACUGAGAAAGAAAGAAAAAAGGAUACACUCAUUAUGUAAUAAAAUUAAGGUGUGUGUUUUAAACACCUGGAAAGAAAUCCAGCUGUUAUGUUUCAACCCCCCAACAUCAAAUGGACUGAAGAUGGAUUGUUAAGAACCACUACCACCACCGCUACAGCAAACACAGAGCAGACACCGUUCCAAGUAUUGUACAUAUUAAUGCACUUAAUCCUCAUAAAACUCUAUAAGAUAGGUACUAUUGUGGUCUUCAUUUUACAGAGAGAGAAACUGAGACACAGAGAGGUUACAUUACUUGCCCCAGGUCAUACAACAAGUGAGCAGCAGAAGCUGGAUUUGAAUCAAUGCACUUAGGCUCUAAACUCUGUGCUGUGGACCCUCACUUUACUACUCCCCUAUGGGACUGUGCAAUGUGCUGGAAUAAUGUUGGAAAAAAAUACUAUAAACUUACUAGAUAGGGAGCAUUUCAUUCCACCUGUAGUAUUCAGGGAAGACCUUCUAAAGGAGGCAUGAUGUGGGAGUUCCCUGGUGGUCUGGUGGUUAGGAUUUGGUGCUUUCACUGCCAUGGCCCCGGUUCAAUCCCUGGUCGGGGAACUGAGAUCGCACCAGCUGUGCAGUGUGGCCAAAAAAUAAAUAAAUAGAUAAAGGAGGCAUGAUGUGAGUUGAAGGACAAGCUGGAUUUCAGCGGGUGGGGAAGGAAAGAGGUCAUGAAGGAUGGGGUAGGUGUGCAUAGAUGGGUAGAGGAGAUGAAGAAAGGUGUUGCAGAUGACAGAAGGGAAUGAGAAGGAAUAUAAAUUCAAGGCAAUUUGGGGAAAUAGUGGAUAGACCAGUUUGGCAGGAGAUAACUUGGAAAGGUACAGAUGAUGGUGGGAUGAACUUGAUCCCUGAAGGCAAUGGGAAGCUAUUGAAAACUUUUGGGCUAGUAAACAACAUGAGUAGAAAAUCUUCCUGGCUUCCUCCAGACCAAAACUGGACCUCAAGACUUGGAAACCCAUCCUGCCCAAUGACUGAAUUUAGUUAGAAGUUAAGCCCAAAUACAGAACAUGGGUUUCAAGGGUCUCAGAUCUCAGUUGUACAAUUAGGCUACUUUGUUUACUUUCCUUUUUCAUGUAAAAACACUAUUUUUGAAUGAACUUAUUUACAAAACAGAAAUAGAGUCACAGAUGUAGAAAACGAACUUACGGUUAGUUACG